AUACGGAGGGGGCUAGCGUUGUUCGGAAUUACUGGGCGUAAAGCGCACGUAGGCGGACUGAUCAGUUGGGGGUGAAAUCCCAGGGCUCAACCCUGGAACUGCCUCCAAUACUGUCAGUCUUGAGAUCGGAAGAGGUGAGUGGAAUUCCUAGUGUAGAGGUGAAAUUCGUAGAUAUUAGGAGGAACACCAGUGGCGAAGGCGGCUCACUGGUCCGAUACUGACGCUGAGGUGCGAAAGCGUGGGGAGCAAACAGGAUUAGAUACCCUAGUAGUCC
Molecule: ribosomal RNA, 274 nt
Filed under: uncultured bacterium
Lineage: Bacteria
Description: partial 16S ribosomal RNA
Rfam family: Bacterial small subunit ribosomal RNA
Source: RNAcentral